ACUCCUACGGGAGGCAGCAGUGAGGAAUAUUGGACAAUGGAGGCAACUCUGAUCCAGCCAUGCCGCGUGCAGGAAGACUGCCCUAUGGGUUGUAAACUGUCUUUUAUACGGGAAGAAACAGCUCUACGUGUAGAGCCUUGACGGUACCGUAAGAAUAAGCACCGGCUAACUCCGUGCCAGCAGCCGCGGUAAUACGGAGGGUGCAAGCGUUAUCCGGAAUCAUUGGGUUUAAAGGGUCCGUAGGCGGACAAUUAAGUCAGAGGUGAAAGUCUGCAGCUCAACUGUAGAAUUGCCUUUGAUACUGGUUGUCUUUGAAUUAUUGUGAAAGUGGUUAGAAUAAGUAGUGUAGCGGUGAAAUGCAUAGAUAUUACUUAGAAUACCAAUUGCGAAGGCAGAUCACUAACAAUAUAUUGACGCUGAGGACGAAAGCGUGGGAGCGAACAGGAUUAGAUACCCCUGGUAGGAUAGCG
RNAcentral lists this ribosomal RNA (470 nucleotides) under uncultured bacterium. Its description in RNAcentral is "bacterial SSU rRNA". It matches the Rfam family "Bacterial small subunit ribosomal RNA", at positions 335 to 799 of the family's 1533-position model. The record is from RNAcentral.